Molecule: long non-coding RNA, 18354 nt
Filed under: Nicotiana tabacum (common tobacco)
Lineage: Eukaryota; Viridiplantae; Streptophyta; Magnoliopsida; Solanales; Solanaceae
Description: long non-coding RNA (NTAB_LNC008240)
Source: RNAcentral
AUCAUGCCAAAAGAAAGAAAGAAUAACCUUAACAUACCUGGAGUAGGGAAAACUCCGUAUAAUAUUCUUGGAGAGGAUUGCACUGUACUCCUUUCGAACCACAAAUUUUACGUUGCUACGAUUCUAACAUUUCUCGUUGGAAUUGUUUUGAUGCAAGAAUUUUCGUUGGAGCCUGGAUUAAAUUUAGCUACUGUUCUUGAAGUAUUUUGAAUCUAUGAAGAAUGAUAUUGAAAUGAAGAUGGACGUUUUGAACUUUGUCCAAAAUGAAAAUGGAAUCAAGACUUAGUAGUAAGUCUUUCUUUUGUCCAAAUGAAAAAUGAGCCAAGACUUGUAAUAAGUCUUUACUUUAAUUUCAAAUACAUCUUAGAUAGCCACCUAUUCAAGAAGACUAAUGAGUCAUUUCUUAGUUUUGUGGCUUUUUACCACGUUUUUUGGGGGGUGGGGGGAGGGAGAUUUAGUCUUUAUCUCAUUUUUUAAUAAUUAACUAGGCAAUGUCCCGUUACCCGGUUAUUAAUCAAUUACCCGCAUAAUUAAAAACUAUUUCCACUUACUUAAAAUACUACUCACUUUUCACAUACCUUAUACACAUUACUAUCAUGUCCAUGUGGUACCUUGUAUGGUACUAGUCCAUAAAUACCUGGUAUUUUAGCUCAAGUCGUAUAUUACCCCAAAAAUGCCCAACUUUGACGAAAAUUCAUUUUCUUGGACUUGCUUCUCCUUUCACCUUCACGAAUUUACUCAUUACUUGUGAAAUAGCAUAAUCCUUAUAAUCUUCAAAUAAUCUUUUACUUGGACUGAUGUCAAUUACCUUACGGCAAAUUCAACGUACAAUACUACGGGGUGCAAUAACAUCGUAACUUAAUACUAUGAAGCGUAACAUCUCCGUAAUGUAAUACUGUUGGGUGCAACACUAUCGUAACUUAAUACUGCGAAGCGUGACAUCAUCGUAAUGUAAUAUUGCAAGGCAUAACAUCAUCCUAAUAUAUUACUGCAGGACGUAACAUCAUCGUAAAAUAUUACUGCAGAGGGUAACAUCAUCGUAAUAUAUUACUGCAGAGCAUAACAUCGUUGUAAUACUGCGGGGCGUAACAAGUAUACAACCAAGGAUUAUCAAGUGUUAGACCACUUCCAAUUGCAGCCAAUAAUUUUGAGUUGAAGCAAGGGUUGCUUCAAACCCUUCAAAACUUUUGUGUAUUUAGAGGGAAGAUGAACGAAGAUCCAAAAAACCAUCUAAUGGACUUCAAGGAGAUCAUGAAUACCUUUCAAUACAAUGAUGAGUCACAAGAUGCGGUUUACUUAAGAGCAUUCCCCUUGACACUCAAAGAUGAUGCAAAGCAGUGGCUUCGAAGCUUAGCCCAGGGAUAAAUUAGAACAUGAGAUAAGAUGACCAAAAAAUUUCUCGAUAAAUGUUUCUCAUCUGCUAAGACGGGCAAGUUUAGAAGAGAAAUCCAUAACUUCUGUCAAAAAGAGACUGAAACUGUUUUUGAAGCUUAGGAGAGGUUUAAGGAGACUGUUAGAAAGUGUCAACAUAGCGAAAUUGAACUCUGGAUGCAACACCAUGGAUUUUGGGAUGGAUUGACACUGGCCACAUAUAGAACAUUGAGCAAUGCAGCUGGAGGCCCGUUAAUGAGGAAGACUCUAGAGGAGAUAGUUACAAUUCUUGAUGAGUUGUUUGAAGAUGCUAAUCACUGGCCCGCUGAGUGUGGUGAAAGAAGAAAAUCAACCAGUGUUCACCAAGUUGAUGCUAAUACAUCUGUGCUGGUACGACUUGAUGUUAUAGCCAAAGAAAUAUGGAAGCUGACCUUAGCCUCGAUACAAAGUGAGCCAUAUGCAGCAUGUGAUAUAUGUGGAAGAGGACACCCUAUUCAUGAGUGUCAAGCCUCAAUCGAGGAUGUUAAUGAUGUGGGGAAUUAUAACUUUAAUGCAAUGGGUCAGAAGCACCCCGGUUUUUCAUGGAGUUCAUCUGGGGGAACCACAAAUUCAUGGCGACAAAACAACCCCAUAUUUUAGGGACAUGGAGCUUCAUGUUUUACGAAUCAGCCAAGGCUGUAGUUUCAGCCUCAACAAUCCAAUCAACGUGGUUUAGAAGAUAUAAUGAAUGCCUUCAAUGUCAAUACAUAUGAGAGGCUAGAUGCUCAUGGUGCAACUAUCAAGGAACUUGGCACAUAUUUGCAAAACUUGGAGAAGUAAGUGGGGCAAACUGCAACAUUAUUGCUUGAGAGAGUCCCAGGACUAUCCCAGCUGAUACUGAGAGAAAUCCUAAAGAAAUGGUGAAUGCUGUGACCUUAAGAAGCAGGCAAGUGUUGAAAGAUCUCACUUCAAUCCAAAAAGAGGUUGUACCUGAAAAAAAGUAGGGAGCAUCUGAAAAAUGAAGUUGAUAAGAAGAAUAAAGGCAAGAAGGGAGCUGACAAAAAAGAAGAAGGAGGAAACCUCAAGAAUGAAAGAACCUAAUGAGAGGCAGCAUAUGAUUGCUCUACCUUUCCCAUAAAAUCUAUAUAGAGAAAAGCUGGACAAGCAGUUUGAGAGAUUUUUAGAUAUGCUGAAACAUGUUCAAGUAAAUUUGCCAUUCACAGAAGUGCUAUCAUAAAUGGCAGCUUAAGCCAAAUUCUUGAAGGAGAUCCUGACAAAGAAGAGAAAGAUAGAAGAGACCUCAAUGGUCAAACUCACAGAGCAUUGCAGUGCAAUCUUGCAAAACAAACUCCUAUAAAGGUAUGGAGAUCCAUGGAGUUUUACUAUACCUUGCUCUUUAGGCACUCUGAACUUUGAUAAAUCAUUAUGUGAUUCUGGUGCCUCAAUUAAUUUAAUGUCUCUAUCUAUUUACAAGAAAAUGGAGAAGGAGAUUGGAGAGAUAAGGUUGGUGCAAAUAUCUUUGCAGCUAGAAGAACAAACGACUUUGAUACCGAUGUCUCAGUUCGGGUGGAUAAGUUUGUAUUCCCUGUAGAUUUUAUAAUGGUCAAGAUGGAGGAGAACAAGGAGGUCUCCUUCAUCCUAGGAAGACCAUUCUUAUCAAUGGGUAGAGCGAUACUAGAUAUACACGAGAGAAGCUCACGCUGAGAGUGAGUGAGUAGACUGUGACUUUCAAGAUAGAUGUAGAAAUGGGGGUGACAAAGGAGAAUCCAACUGCAAGUGUUGAGUGAAAAGUGAAGGGUUCGAAAGAGAAGGCUGCAGGGAGUGAAAAUGAAAAGUGUACGGUAUAUCCCAAGAAGGCUGAGAAGAAGUUGUCUGCAUGGAUGUGUGCACUAGUUCGGGCGUGAAGAUUGGAGCUCGACUUUGAUUAAGACCUAACUAGAUGUUCAGGGAAGUUUCCUUUACCAUAUGCUUUUGAAUUGUGUGUCAUGGUGUCACAACCCAAAUUCCACUCAGGGUUGUGAUGGCACCGGACACCGCUGUCAGGAAAGCCAACCUUACUUAAUUAAAUUCUCGUUUAAAUAAUUUUGAAAACUAUGAUUUUUCCUUUAAUUUUACCAGUAAAAGAUAAUCGUUUUAAAUAAAAUAUGUAUGUUAAGAAGUUAAUACAAGAUACCUCAUAAUCAUCCCAGAACCCAGUGUCACAAGUGCACAAGCAUUUACUAGAGAAUGCAAUAAAAUACAGUAACUGUCCGGAAUACUAGUGGACAAAAUGAAAAAUACAGUAAAAUACUCUAAAGGGGACUCUGCUGGCUGCCGGUCAUCUCGAUAAAUGCAGCUCACCUAAGUCACUAGCCACACUUGAACCUCUGCAACAAAAAUGCACAGCAAGUGUAGUAUGCAUACGAAAACAACAUGUAUCCAAUGAGUAUCCCGUCUAAUCUCGAAGAAGUAGAGACGAGAGGUCGACUUCGACACUUAUUAAUGGUCCAAUGAUAAAUAGAAAAAGUGUGAGGAAUUCAAGGAUUUCAUAAAGCAAAAUUUAACUCAUAAAGUCGGAAAGCAGGUAAACAACUUCUCAAAUAAUUAGGGAGUUUCAAAGGUAUACUUUUCAUUAUCGUUAUCAAUUUAUCUCUGGCCAGGAAGGGGCAAUUAUCAACAUUUAAAAUUCUCAAGCAAGCAAUACAAGCAUGCGCAUAUCAUGCCGAGGUCGUAUGACCCGAUCCAACAAUAUUUAAACUGUGCACUGGCAGGGGGUCGAAUGGAGCGAACCAUACAUGCAUUUAUUUAAUCUACCGAGGUGUUCGACCCGUUCCGAAAUUAAACACAUUGGGUACAUAAAUACGGCCCUGCAUCCGCAACACCCCAUUGUCCCCAACAGUAACCUACUUGUCACCACCGUGCCGCAUCAUGUCCUUAAGGAUAAGAGACGUGGGGGUCAUCAUAUUGACGCUCUCUGAUGAACUCAUACAAAGAAGACCGAGAGACUAUGCAAGCUAAAACACGAUUGGGCUUCGAAUCAUCUAACCAAACAAACUUAUUGGCCAAAGCUUGAACAUCUGAUGCUAGUGGCCUCCCACCCACUGUAAUAUAUGCAAGGCCACCCAUACUCACUGCCGUUCUACUCAAGGCAUCGGCCACCACAUUAGCCUUCCCGGGAUAAUACAAAAUGGUGAUGUCUUAGUCUUUCAACAGCUCUAACCACCUCCUCUGCCUCAAGUUGAGAUUCUUCUACUUGAACAAAUACAAUCGACUUCGAUGAUCUGUGAAUACCUCACACGACACACCAUAAAGAUAGUGCCUCCAAAUCUUCAACGCAUAAACAAUGGUUGCCAACACUAAGUCAUGAAGAUGGUAUUUCUUCUCAUGAACCUCAAUUGUCGUGAUGCGUAUUCAAUCACCUUGCCAUUCUGCAUCAAUACUAUACCGAGCCUAACUUGAGAUGCAUCACAAUACACCGUGUAAGAUCCUGAACCUGUGGGCAACACCAACACUAGCGCCAUAGUCAAAACAGUCUUAAGCUUCUGAAGGUUCAACUCACACUCGUCCGACCACCUGAAUGGAGAACCCUUCUAAGUCAAUAUAGUCAAUGGGGCUGCUAUGGAUGAAAACCCCUCCACGAACCGGCAAUAAUAACCCGCCAAGCCUAAGAAACUUUGAAUCUCUAUAACUGAAGUAGGUCUAGGUUCUGAACUACCUCAAUCUUAUUAUGAACCACCUUUAUGCCCUCUCCUGAUACAACAUGCCCUAAAAAGGUAACUGAGUCUAACCAAAACUCGCACUUUAAAAACUUGGCAUAUAACUGACUAUCUCUCAUAGUCUAAAGUACAAUCCGAAGAUACUACUCAUGCUCUUCUCGACUACAGGAGUAGAUCAAGAUGUCAUCAAUGAAUACGAUCACAAAAUAAUCCAAAUAGGGCUUGAAUAUACGAUUUAUCAAAUCCAUAAAUGAUGCUGGGACAUUUGUCAUUCUAAAUGUCAUCACUUGGAACUUAAAAUGCCUAUACCAAGUCCAGAAAGUUGUCUUAGGGACAUCUGAUGCCCUAAUCUUCAACUGAUGGUAGUUAUACCUCAAAUCAAUCUUCAAAAACACCUUGGCACCCUGAAGCUGAUCAAAUAAGUUAUCAAUCCUCGGCAACGAAUAUUUGUUAUUGAUAGUGACUUUGUUCAACUGCUGAUAGUCUAUACACAUCCUUAUCGAUCCAUCCUUCUUCUUCACAAACAACACAGGCGCACCCCAAGGAAAGACACUGGGUCUAAUGAAUCCCUUAUCAAACAAAUCUUGCAACUACUCCUUCAGUUCCUUCAACUCAGGUGGUGCCAUACGGUAUGGUGGGAUAGAAAUAGGCUGAGUGCCCGCAACCAGAUCUAUACAGAAGUCAAUAUCUCUAUCGGGUGACAUCCCCGGUAGAUCUACAGGAAAUACCUUUGGGAACUUAUACACAACUAGUACCAAAUCCAUGGAAGGAACCUCCGCAAUAGAAUCUCGAAUAUAGGCCAAAUAAGCUAGACAUUCCUUCUCGACCAUGCAUCGUGCCUUGACAUAAGAAAUAACCAUGCUAGUAGAAUGGCCAAGAGUCCCUCUCCAUUCUAUUUGAGGCAAUCCUAGCAUGGCUAAGGUCACUUUCUUGGUGUGACAAUCCAAUAUAGCAUGAUAAGGUAACAACCAAUCCAUACCCAAGAUAACAUAAAAAAAGUCUGCCAUAUCAAGAAGUAGGAGAUCUACGCUAGUCUCAAGACUCCCAAUAGUAAUCACACACGAGAGAUAGACACGAUUUAUAAAAAUAGAAUCUACCAUAGGUGUAGACACAUACACAGGAGCACUCAAAGAAUCGUGAUGCACAACCAGAUAUAAAGCAAAAUAGGAUGACACGUAGGAAUAAGUAGAGCCCGGAUCAAAUAGAAUUGAAGCAUCUCUAUGGCUAACUUGAACAAUACAUGUGAUAAUGACGUUAGAUGACUCAGCCUGAAGUCUAGCUGGGAAUGCAUAAAAUCGAGGUUGGGCCCUACCACCCUGACCUCCAUCUCUCGGACGACCUCUAGCUGGCUGACCUCUACCUCUAAUGGCCUGACCUCCACCACUAAUGGCCUAACCUCCAUCUCUGGCUGCCUGACCCUUGCCUUUAGCUGGUUGAGAGGGCGGUGAAGCACCCGAUGCCGAACGAUGGCACAAGAACUUUAUUGUGGUAUGCCGUUUAACAAUCUCAGAUAGAACCUCCUGAUGACACUAGUAUCCCCACACUCAAAAUACCUAUCCUACUAUUAUGGCUGCUGAACUUGGAACUUGCCCGAAUGGACAGGAUAACCAUAGUGGCAGCUCUAUAUUGGAGGCAUACUAAUAGGACCUGAUGGUGCACUGAAGGCUAGCUGCCAAGAAUGAGAUACAUACGGACCACAAUACACGAAUCAUUAUGAUAUGCCAGAAACACUAACUGAAAUGGCCUAGGAGGAUGGCUCCUACUAAAAGCACCCCUACCUCCAGAUGAGGCACCGCUGAAACUACCAGAAUUAUGAGGCCUCUUAUCAGACAUCGGCCCCCUCUCUUGACCAUGAACCAUCUCGAUCCGUCUAGCAAUAUCUACGGCCCUCUGAAAAUAAAUAUCAUCUCCAAUUUUCUUGGCCAUUUGUAGCUUGAUAGUGAAAGUGAGUCCAUCAAUGAAUCCCCUCACUCUCUCCCUCUUAGUAGGGAGCAGGAUAAUGGCAUGGCGAGCUAGGUCCAUAAAUCGAGUCCCAUACUAUGUAACAGUCAUACUACCUUACUGAAUAUGCUCAAACUGCCUGUGGUAAUGCUCUUUUAGAGUGGCAGGAAUGAACUUCUCUAGAAAGAGUUGUGUAACUAAUCCAGGUAAGUGCAGGCGAACCAACUGGUCUAUUUAACAUAUAAUAUCUCCACCAUCUCUUUCCUGAACCAGUCAAUUAAAACACUGCAAAGUCGAUCCCAUUGGUCUCCACUAUACCCAUGUUGCGCAAUACCUCGUAGCAACGGUCCAGGUAAUGUUGUGGAUCCUCAGAAAGUGCACUACUAAAAUGAAUAGGGAAGACUUGGUAAACAUAUCCAACCUCAACAAGGCCUUAGAAGACAUAAGGGGCCUAUAACCGGCCUUUACCACCAUAAUUGACUGAACCAGCCCAAUUGGAUGGGUUGCUGGAGUUUGAUACAAGGGAAUCGCCUGCUUCGGAGUGUGAGUAGCAUGAGUCUGUGCUCCUUCCCCAGCCUGAGAGACGUUUUGUGCCACCGCAAAUGCACCAGACUCGGCCACACUCUCCAUAAGGCCCACCAAGUGGACUAGAGUGUCAUGAAGCACUGAAGUGGCUAUGAACACCUCCGGGACCUGAGUUGGUCCAACGGGUACAAUCUUAGUUGGAACCUCCUUCUCAUGAUCAAUUUGAGGCUCUACUACGGCUGCUGCUACUCGAGCUCUAGGCUGGACUCUGCCUUGGCCUCUUCCCCUAGUAGUAGUUGUCACAGGUGGCUCCAGCUCAUGUCCAACUGCAGAUGUUGUGCGUGUUCUCUCCAUAUGCGAGAGAACAAGAAUAGAGUGGUUCAAUAACCAAUGAUAAAAUAAAAUCACAUGAUAGAGAAGCAAAGAACUGAAAUUGUUUCUGGACUUCAUAGCAUCUAGAAGAUAAGUAGAGACGACUCCGUACUGAUCCUCCAAACUCAAGUAAGCUUGCUCAUGACUCAUGAGACCUAGGCAACCUACUGCUCUGAUACCAACUUGUCACGACCUGAAAUUCCCAUGGUUCGGACCGUGAUGGUGCCUAACUUUACACUUGCUAGGCAAACCAAUGUUAGAUGUAGUUAUUAACCAUUUUGAAUAAUUCAAAUCAAAUGAAAACCAAUAAACUAAAUAAACUGAAAUAAAGUAGAUAAAUCUGACAAACGAUGAUAUCAAAUAUAAAUCCCAAAAUUGAUGUCAUGAAUAUACGAGCAUCUAGAGUACUAUAAAUAAUAGUCUGAAUGAAAACGUAAAUGCUUGAUUAUAAAUAAACAGCUAGGGUAAUGUAGAAGGGGACUUCAGUGCUGCAAAAACUGUGCACCUAUACCUCAGGUCUCAAUCGAGCACAUGAUCCAGGCAAUAUACUCACCACUGCUAGGAUCGACUCCAAAAUCUGCACAAAAAGUACAGAGUGUAGCAUGAGUACAACCGAUCCUAUACCUCAGGUCUCAAUCGAGCACAUGAUCCAGGCAAUAUACUCACCACUGCUAGGAUCGACUCCAAAAUCUGCACAAAAAGUACAGAGUGUAGCAUGAGUACAACCGAUCCUAUGUACUCUGCAAGUGCCGAGCCUAACCUCGACGAAGUAGUGACGAGGCUAAGGAGGGUCACAUUCAAUAAUAUGUACGCAACGUAAUAAUAAUAAUAAUAGGAAAGGUAAAGUAGUUAACUUAUGAAAAAGAACUCAAUUCUUGUAAUAAGAGAACCGGGAAUAACCGAUCUCAUAAUUUUAUAUAACACUUGAAAAUCAACACAGUAACAAUAAUGAAUACAACACAGAAAACCCAUUGCAGCGCGCAACUCGAUCCUACCGUACACACAAUCCUCCCUUAUUUCACUAUAUCAACAUCAAGAAUCACAUGUAAAAUAUAUUGCAGCACGCAACUCGAUCCCACCAGAUCAUCAUAAUCAAUAUAAUAAUCCUCCCUUAUUUUACCAUGUCACAAUUUAUUAAUACAAGUAUUACGUACAAAGCCGUUGUGGCGCGUAACCCAAUCCUACUGUAUUCUACCACAUCACAACCGUUGUGGCAUGCAACCCUAUCUAUACGAAAAUACAAUAAAUGAAAUCAAUCCAACAACUCAAUUCACAAGAAUCUCUAUGAUUAAAGAAUUAUGAAAGCAAAGCAAGAAAGGAACCACGAAAGAAUCAAAGGAAGGCUACAGAUAAUACAAGUGCAACAAAACAAGCCAAGUAGGUGACAAUGAAGGCGUACAAGUAAGACAAUUAAGGCAAGUAGCAGUUAGUCAUGGAGUCUCGGAAGGAACAAACAUUUCAAUACAAGAAUAAUUAAUGACAAGUAACAAGUUACGACAUAGAAAUAAAUUAAAGCAUGUAACAGUUAAGACAUGAAAUAAGAUAACUCAUGAAAUACGAGAAAGCAUGGAAACAAUUAUUUUGACGGAGUAUAUAUAUUUGCCACCUCGCAUAUACGUUGUUACACACGUAAUUGUCACGACCCAAGCCGAUGGGCCGCGAGUGGCACCCAGUGCCUUACUCAACCGAGUACCAACGUAACAUAUCUUUUCUAUUACAUCAUCAUAGGUCAGUGGGUCAGAAGGGCCUUAUGAGGCAACAAGAAUAAAAUAAGAGGGAACACUCGUCAUAAAACAACCAACCUUAUAUAGAAACUUGUACAUGUGAGAUACGGGGCUAUAAGGCAAACAUGGUCGUUUGUAAGCCCGAAUCGUAGACCGACAAGGCCAUACAAGUAUCUGUAUACACGACAUUUAUCUACGAGCCUUUAAGAGUACAUAAAUGUCAUAAAGGUCGGGAUAGACCCCGCCGUACCAAUCAAUACAUGUACUAGUCAUACUUACCAAAUAAGGAACUCCGGAGUAAAUGGAGCACACCAACACCUUCUGCUGAGCUGAUAGCCCACUUGGAGGACUCUCACCUAUCUAUCGGGACCUACGGGCAUGAAACGCAGCGUCUCUAGACCAAAAGAACGUCAAUACAAAUAAUGUACCAAGUAUGUAAGGAAUGAAAAUCAAUAAAUAAUAGACAUGAGAGAAAUAUGGAGUAAAAGACUCAACAUGUAAGUCCAAAUAACUCUGUGAAUCAUUAAUAUUUAUAAUGACAUGUAUAUGCGUAUAAAUGUUAUACCAUGCAUAGGUAUAUGUGUUCAUAACAUCAUCAAGCAUCUGAGGGCAUCCCAUCAUAUCAUCUUGGCCACUGUGGCAAAAUCAUCAACGUAUAUCAGCUGAUCAGGUGGUGGUGUGUAUAUAACGUUGUAACCUUUUCCCAUAUCCCAUAUAUAUACACACGUAUAUAUACAUGUAUAUAAUACCAUCUGAUCAUGGGUCAAUGUACAUGUAUAAAUGAAUGCAAUGAAUGAGAAGUACGUCAAUAAAAUCUUUUAGAAUGUCAUAAGACCAUUAUGCCGUUGAUUAAUAUCAUGAAGUAAACUUUAUCAACUUACGUAUUUUCUGAGACCCAUGAACAGAUGAUAGAAUAAUAGGACACAUGGAGAAUUAAGAACAUAUGCAUCUCUAGUAUUUCUAUGAAUAGAGUCAUUUAUGAAAAUUAUGUAUUUGCUCAUUUCGUUUAUAUCGUAUGGAUCAUUCAAAAAAUAAAUAAGGGAUAGACUUAACAUACCUGAGUAGAUUCUCUUGAGAAUCCCUCUAACACACGUCUUUUGCGAAUAACACAUAACGAUGGAUCGAAAUAGGGGAAAACCCGUAUGAUAUUCUCGAGAAAGAUUACACCGUACUUCCUUAGAAUCGCAAAAUCUCAUGUUGCUAGUAUUAAGUAGUCUUGUAUGAGAUUUGAUUAUAGCAAAUCAUGUAUAUAAUUUGUAUGAAAUUAUAUUCGAUUUUGACAAUAUACCAGCUUCGACCAUUGUCAAGUCCGGCUUAAUUUUGUGCUGAAACGUGAUGCUUGUAUCUUCUAAUCUUAAGGGGAUAAGCAAACAUUAGCUUGCAUGUGCGGAGGGAAGUGAAUAUCAUAAUGCAAAUCAUGUUCAGAAAGCUAAAAAAGAGUGUAUAUCUUGCUGUAUGCUCUAUAAAUGUGACACCUUGCUACAUAGUGUAUGAGUCACUUAAUGGAUCAUAUGUGCUGCCACGUUGGGGGGAAAUUUCCCACCCAAUAAUUAUCCACUCAUUUUCUUAAUUAACUUUUUAAUCUCCCAUUAAUCAAUAAUUAUCCAAUUAUCCACAUAAUUAGGAAUUAUCUCAAAUUACGUAAAUGCUACUCACUUUUAACACACUUUAUACACCUUAUUGUCAUGGUUAUGUGGUACCUUGUAUGACACUAGUUCAUAAUUCUCGGGUAUUAUAGCUCGCACCGUAUUUUAUCUCGAAAUGUCAAACUUCGGCGAAACUCAUUUUCUUCGAUUUGCUUACCCUCUCACCUUCACGAAUUUACUUACCACUUGUUUGAAAUAGCAUAAUACUUAUAGCCUCAAAAUAAUCUCAUUCCUGAGCUUACGUCGAUUAACUUACGACGAAACUUUAACGUACGGAAAUGCGGGAUGUAACAUCUCAUUUCCGGCAUUCAUCAAUUUACUUAUGGCAUACUUUUACUUACGAAAACAUGAGGUGUAACAUCAUUCCCUCCUUUGGAACAUUCGUCCUCGAAUGUUGACUGAUGCACUUGUCAUUAUCAUAACCUAUAGUAAUUGCGAAUACUUUAGUACUCUUGUUGCCAUCUAGGCAAUUGUUUUGUAAAUAAAUCCAAAGGCCAAGGCAUUCCCCCCUUUAGGCUUCUUUCUCACACCAUGACUUGUGGUCAGAAUCCUUCCAAUCUCGUAACUGUUGCUACCUUUUGUCAUGCAGGGUACGACUCUAACCUUGUAAGUGAGCCUAUGUGACUCUUCUCUCCUUUUUCCUCCGGCUUUUAACCAAUCUCUAGGCCUCACUUUGUAAACAUAUAUAGAUCUUGAUAAGAUAUCCCUCUGGGCAUAUAUAGGUAUACUGAUGUUCUUCGCUUGGUACUUUGUUGAACUUACGGAUAUUGUUAUACCUUAUUUCAUAGAUCUGUUUAUCCAUCCGUAUGACUUUACUGCCAUAACUCUUACUUUGAUUUAUCGUUACUGAGGUCUGCUACUAGACUCUAGGCUACUCUCGUUGCUUAUCCUAUAUGUAUAAAUCUAAGUCCUUUAACGCUUCUUCUUUACUGUUCAUCUUAAUACUGAUGACCCAAUCUUAUCUCAUACUUUGUAAAUUGUAUCUAUCCUUUGUUGAUUCACCUCAAUUUUGAUAUACAUUCUACCACUGAUAACUUGAAACUUCUUACGUAAUACAUUGUCACUGGGGCUUACGUCUCAUCAGGGAAUAUCUGAAGUGGCUUGCCUAAUCCACCUAGGGGUGAUACUAUACUUCAAUAACCAUAUUUCAUAGCAUCCCAAUGUGAUUCUCCUUACAAGGGUAUUUUAAUCAUGUACAAUUCAUCAAAUCAUUACUUAAUUGAAGGCCCAACCGUCGUCCUUUAUUUAUCGUGAUUACACCCUCAUUCUACUACCAGGGCAGCAUUCCAUCUCUUCUAAAUGCUAUUAGUUUUACACUCCUUUGAGUUCAUUUAGGCUAUACUGAACCUUCUAUAACUUAGAUAAACCAUUAGCUCUCUUAUUUUCAUGGGCUUAAUCCUGAGGACUUAUCCAUUUCUCGUCACUUUCUAACCCGCCCUUUAUUAUCCUUACUCCUGUCAUAAAACCUUAUCGCUUUACUAUACUUUAGCUUGCGACCUAUACAUAUCUAUUUAUACUACUUGUAACCGUCCUUCAACUUGCUUGAACCAUAGAUUUCCUUAUGUUAUUCUGGAACAUCAAGCGAGACAUAAUAUCGUCUCUAACUCUUCUUUACUCUCUUGGCUAGAUCUCUUGAUACCUAGAAAACACAAGUUGGAAGAUAUGCCACUGAUGAUGCCGCUAUCAAUCCUGGUUACUGAAUCCCAACUUUUUAGCCUUUUGUCCGAAGUAUGGACAAUUCACAACCUUCUGCAUUUGAGUAUCUCGUACGUUGUUUACCUUUACCUUACUUAUCUUAAAAUCUUGUAUCAUAUCUUCUAUGUAUUUCACAACCUCCCUUCCACAUAAGUAUAAUUUACAUCAACAACUUAAAGUUCUAUUAUAAUAACUGCACCUCUCGUGCAUACACAAUCCAGUGGGAGCUUCAUGCUGACUUCUUAUGAGGCUGGUACUAUUCUAACUGGCUUUAUUGUAGGGCCGUUAUAGAAUAUGGCUAUUGUACUAUCUGUCUUGUACCUCUGAUAUGAAGAGUGAUCCUGCAAUUUUCUCAAUCAUAAUUUCUAUAAUUUUCUCGGUCCAAUAAUCAGACUCUGAUUUACUUAGUUGAAAUAACUCUUUAGUUUCCUCUUUCUUCUGAUAAACCUUUAUGUACGCUUAAGCUAUCUUUCGAUCUACGGCUCAUAAUAUUAGUUAUUACUUUAGCCUUUUAUGGACGCUCUGGAAUAUCCCUGAUACAAUCUUCUAACAAUUCAAUCUUUGUAUAUGACGCGGGCUCAAUUCUUUCUUUUAACUUAUACGGGAGUCUUGUACGGCUGUAUGAAUGUCUAUAUAUAUGUUGUAUGGAUAAUACUUCGAAAUCUUAAGUGCAUUCAUAACAUAACUAACUCUGGAUCAUUGAUCGAAUAUGUAACGACCCAAUUCUAGUUUAGGCCGUGAUGGCGCCCAACAUCAUUGCUAGGCACGCCAACAAUGAAUUAUCUAGUGAUCCCCAUUUUUAUUAAGUUAUCAAACAUCUAACUUUCCUUAAAUUUAAAGGAUUUAAUAAAUAACGUAUUUUUAAAGCAAUCAAAAGUGAAGAUAGCUAAAUGAAAUCAUAACUGUAGAAAUACAACCCAAAAUCAUAAGUCCACUAGUGUGUGCCAAGACCCGGUGUCACAAGUGUAUGAGCAUUCUAGAAGAAUAUACAAAAGAAUAGUAGUCUAGUGUCUGAAAUGUAAUACACAAAAAAUAUAACAAAAGGAAGACUUCAGCUACUGUAGUACGGCUCAGAAGGGCAGCUCACCGUGUAGUCUCGAAGUGAGGAUCAAAUAUGUGCGCCAGACAGGUAACCAGAUGCACUCGCCUCAGAUCUUGUACAAUCAAGUACAGAAGUGUAGCAUGAGUACAUAAACAAUAUGUACCCAGUAAGUAUCCAGUCUAACUUCGAAGAAGUAGUGACGAGGGAUCGACUUUGACACUUACUAUGAGCUAACAAUAUUGCAUUUAAACUUUAUAAUAAGCAUGGAUUUCACGAAUAAUAUUGAAAGCUCAAUAACAGAAAAUGAUGAAUUCUUCUCUCACAAAUUAUAACGACCCCGCCGGUCGUUUCAUGAGUUACUGCUCCAUUUUUCCUAUUUAUAUUUUUAUUGCCUUAUUUAGCUGUAUUAUGUGGUAUCGGGUUGGUUGGUUCGGGUUCGGAGUGGUUUUGUAGAGAAAUGAGACACUUAGUCUCUUAAAUUAGCCUUUUAGUUGGAAAAGUCAACCGGAAGUUGACUUGUGAGUAAACCAUCUCAGAACUUGGUUUUUAUGGUUCAGAUAGCUCCGUGAGGUGAUUUGGGACUUAGGAGCGUGAUUGGAAUGUAUUUUGGAGGUCCGUGUUAGUUUUAGGCUUGAAUUGGCAAAAUUAGAAUUUUGGCGUGUUACAGUUUGGAAAUUUGAUAUAGCGGUCGGAAUGGAAUUUCGAAAAUUGAAGUAGGUCUGUUGUGUCAUUUGGGAUGUGUGUGCAAAAUUUCAGGUCAUUCGGACGAGGUUUGAUGGACAUUUUGAUGAUUUGGUGUUUUGAUGUUGUUUUGGGCGUUCCGAAGGUUGAAACAAGUUUGAAUGAUGUUAUGGGAUGUGUUGGCAUGUUUGGUUGAGGUCUCGAGGUCCUCAAGUGAGUUUUCGGUUGUUAACGGAUCAAAUUCUUGUUUUUAGAAGUUGCAGAUUUCUUCAAUUCUAUGUUGCAGAGAUUUGUCCUUCGCGUUCGCGAGAGGGCUCUCGCGUUCGCUAAGGGAUGUGUAGUGAGGCAGGAGAAUUUUCCUUCGCGUUUGCGAUGUUGGUCCCGCGUUUGCGAAGGGUGAGGCAGAGUGUGCAUCGCGAACACGAAGUAGGUCCCACGUUCGCGUAGAGUAAUUGGAGCAGCUGGGUUCCUAGGAUUUUGUGCUUCGCGUUCGCGAAGGCUUGGACGGUUGAAGCAUCGCGUUCGUGUGGAGUAUGUCGCGUUCGUGAAGGAGGAAUAAUUGGUCAAUGAAUUUUUGUGCUUCGCGAAUGCGAGGCUUUGACCGCGUUCGCGAAGAAGGAAAUAUCAUCUGGGCAGAAUGUUUAAAUAGUUACCUUCGCGAUUUUUGGCCUAUUUUCCACUAUUGUUGAGCGGUUUUGGAGCUUUUUGAGAGGGAUUGAAGAGGAAAUCGAAGGGAAACACUUAGAGGUAAGAUUUUUGAACUCAAUAUUCGAUUCUAUGAUGGUUUCUACCCAAUUAGACAUGAAAUUAGUAGGAUUUAAAGUCUAAAAUUUUGGAAUUAGGGCUUGAAAUUUGAGGCUUUGAUUUAAGGAUUUGAGGGGCCAUUUUUGGUCGGAUUUUGAUGUGUUUGGUAUGUAUGAACUCGUGAGAGUGUAAGGAUUCUAAUUUUGUAAUUUUUAUCGGAAUUCGAGACGUGGGCCUGGGGGUCAGAUUUGGCCAAUUUCGGGAUUUUUGAGUUAAAUUGAUUAUUUUUGCUUGGGCAUUGUUCCUUCAGCACGUAUUAAUGGUAUAAUACUGGUUUUGGUUAGAUUUGGAGCAUUCGGAGGCCGAGUUGAGGGUCAAAGGCAUCGCAGGCUAGAGUUUGGACCGGAUUGAGGUAUGUAAUGAUUGUAAAUGUUCUUCUGAGGUUAUGAAACCCCGGAUUUCACAUUGUUGUGCUACUUUAAGGUGACACACAUGCUAGAUGACGAGCGUGGAUUCGUGCACUGAGGGGCUGAUUACGAGUGAUUGUGAAGUAGCCUGAGGGGCUAGUUCUGUCGAUAUUUUGCCUGAGAGGUGUGAGCACAUGAUUUUUGCCCUAUGUGAAAUACUCCUACAAAUUAAAGAAAUGGAUUUUUCCCAAUUGUUUGAAAUUUUAUAGGAUUUUUGUAGGAUUUUUGUUAAUUUUUUUGCAUUUCUGUGCAUGUUUACUUUUAUUAAAAUCAUGAAAAGUACCAAAAUUAUCAUGCAUUGCAUUUAGAUUCUAUGUUUAUUUUUGCAUUCUUAGCUUUUAACUUGGGAUUAUUAAUUUUUCUCUUUUAAGUUAGGAUCACUUAAUUUUUAUUAAUCUUAUGAUUUGAUAAGUAGUUUGAUUUUAUAACUUAGAUUAAUUUAGGGUUUAAUUUAGAAUUUUUAUUAAUUAAGGAAAAAGAAAAGAAAAAUAAAAGAAAAAGGAUUAAAAUAGGAAAAAGAAAAGAAAUCUUGGUCUUUAAUUUCACUGAGCUAAUUAAUACUGAAGCCCAAAAAUGUUGCCCCAAAUCCGCCCCAAACACACCCCAAACCCGCCCCAAAUCCAAGCUCAAAAUAAAAUUACCCGGUCUAGCCUCUUAUCUAAACCAAACGACCCCGUUUUGCCCGUCUUUUAUCACAGCCGUUGGAUCUUACUGAUCCAACGGUUCAGAACUAACCUUCCAUUCGAUAUAAGAUUGUCCUAACUGAUCACCCCCAAUUUCGAACCCCCCCAUUUUGUCUCUUUUACAAACCCUAGUCAACCUAGCUGCUCCCAAAUUACCAAACCCCACCGGCCGGCGACACAACCCCAAUCGACCCCAAGUUCACACCCUAUAAUCACCAGGCAUCCCCAAACACAAAACCCCUAACAAUUUCCCCAAAUAAUCUUUGGAACUCAUCGAAUCCUGGAUCUAUGGUUUGACCUAGUUUCUGCGUUUUGAGAUUUUCUUGAAGUUUCUGCUCGUUUUGGAUGGAAGUCUACCCAAAUAGGUUACUCUUGAGUGGAGUAGUCAUUUAGGUCAACUUCGAGCCCUAUCGAAGCAUCUUGAAGCCUGUCAUUUGGGUCGAUCAGUAAAUUCUUGACCUCUACUCUUUGUUUUUGUUUUCUCUUCUGUUUUUCUUUCUUUAUUUCUCUUCUUCUCAAUCGGUUUUGUUUGCAUGAUAGUUUGGAACGCUUAUCAAGCGAGUUUUAUUCAUUUUUUAAUUAGUCAAUUGUGUUCAAUCAUUAUUAGCAUGUUUAAGUUCUUGGUUAAUUACAAUUUGCUUUAGGGUAAUUUAGAAUGAGCUUGAUUAGCUAUUUUAGGAUAAUUCAAAUAAGCUAAUUAGUUAAUUGAAUGUUUGAUUCUGAUUUGCACCAUUUUCUUUUUCCGUUUUACAUGAAUGUUUUGAUUCUGAUGCUGGCUGGAUAAAAAUGGUGUUCAGCCUAGGCCUGAGUUAAAUAUUACACUUGGGCCUGUUUGAGACCAUUUGGCCACGACUUGGGCCUGUUUGCCAGGGCAGUUGGCCCAAAACUGAAGGGAAAGGUUCUAGAAAGCGUACAUCUGCCUAGACUUGGUGGAAAGAGCAUGUGGAAAUAUCUGAAUAUGGACAGCUGUCCCAAAGCUACCCAGUUUCAGUUACAGAAAGAUUCCUUUCUUGAAAGCUGGGGGUGUUUUUUAGAAAAUCAGGCUUAAAUAUAGGGUUUGAAAUGAACCAAAAAAUGAGGAAGGGGUAAUAGUAAAAGAAAAAAUCAAGUUUUGUUGCCCUAAAGCCCUCCUAUAAGAAGCUCAUUUUCCUGAAUUCUAGGGCAGAGAUGGGGAGGAUCCAAAAAGAGAAAACGACUGAAAAUUUUUCCAAAAAAAAAAACUACUCAAGUUUUGAGCUUGAUUUCUUUCUUUGGCUAAAAAGUUUAGAAGUGGUCUUUCUUGGGAUUUUCUGGUUUUUCUAAGCUAAAAUAUGGAUGGAUAUUGAGGCUAUUGAGUUGAUGAUUACUACUGUUCUUUGCGGCUGGACCUGUUAUUGCUUUGCUGCUAUAAGCUGAUUUUCAAAUACAUUUCUAGUUUUCUUUUUGUUGUAUCCAGGUACUCCUUUGAAUCUCUGAAAUUUGAAGUGAAUAUGACAAUGCAUGUGUUAAGGCUGAUGUGAUUAGUUAUCAAUUUUUCCAAAAUUGGUUCCUAGGUUCUAUUAAUUUGUAUAUCUCUUCUUCUAUUAGUCACUGUUCUCUUUCGCAUAUCAGUAGAUGUAAAUCUGUGUUAGAGUAUAAAAGUUGUCAUUGUAACACAUGAAUUUUAGGACUUGAAUUAUGUUUGUGUUAAGAAUCUUGCCAAAAGUGUUAGAUGUCUGAACCAAGUGUAUGUACACUGUGAUUUUAGUUAUGGGUCUAUGUUGGAGUCAUUUGAGUCUCUAAUAUGGCGAGUUUAGGAAUGAUGUUUGGA